GACGAACGCUGGCGGCGUGCUUAACACAUGCAAGUCGAACGGAAAGGCCCUGCUUUUGUGGUGUGCUCGAGUGGCGAACGGGUGAGUAACACGUGAGUAACCUGCCCUUGACUUUGGGAUAACUUCAGGAAACUGGGGCUAAUACCGGAUAGGAGCUCCUGCUGCAUGGUGGGGGUUGGAAAGUUUCGGCGUUUGGGGAUGGACUCGCGGCUUAUCAGCUUGUUGGUGGGGUAGUGGCUUACCAAGGCUUUGACGGGUAGCCGGCCUGAGAGGGUGACCGGCCACAUUGGGACUGAGAUACGGCCCAGAGGCCUACGGGAGGCAGCAGUGGGGAAUAUUGCACAAUGGGCGGAAGCCUGAUGCAGCAACGCCGCGUGCGGGAUGACGGCCUUCGGGUAGUAAACCGCUUUCGCCUGUGACGAAGCGUGAGUGACGGUAAUGGGUAAAGAAGCACCGGCUAACUACGUG
This 468-nucleotide ribosomal RNA is filed under the name uncultured bacterium. Its description in RNAcentral is "partial 16S ribosomal RNA". It matches the Rfam family "Bacterial small subunit ribosomal RNA", at positions 28 to 507 of the family's 1533-position model. The record is from RNAcentral.